GGUUAAGUUAACAAGGGCGCAUGGUGAAUGCCUUGGCACUAGGAGCCGAUGAAGGACGGGACUAACACCGAUAUGCUUCGGGGAGCUGUACGUAAGCUAUGAUCCGGAGAUUUCCGAAUGGGGCAACCCAGCAGUUUUAAUCAACUGUUACCACUAGAUGAAUUCAUAGUCUAGUUGGAGGUAAACGCUGUGAACUGAAACAUCUCAUUAGCAGCAGGAAUAUAAAGAAAUUUCGAUUCCCUAAGUAGCGGCGAGCGAACGGGGAACAGCCCAAACCAAAGUGCUUGCACUUUGGGGUUGUAGGACUGAACAUUUGAGUUACCAAAGAACUUGAUAGUCGAAGGAUUUGGGAAAAUCCGCCAUAGAUGGUGAUAGCCCAGUAGAUUAAAUCAAAUUCUCUCAGUUCAGGAUCCUGAGUACGGCGGAACACGUGAAAUUCCGUCGGAAUCCGGGAGGACCAUCUCCCAAGGCUAAAUACUACCUAGUGACCGAUAGUGAACCAGUACCGUGAGGGAAAGGUGAAAAGCACCCCGGGAGGGGAGUGAAAUAGUUCCUGAAACCAUGUGCCUACAAUAAGUCAGAGCGCGUUAAUGCGUGAUGGCGUGCCUUUUGUAGAAUGAACCGGCGAGUUAUGAUCCCGUGCAAGGUUAAGACUAAAAAGUCGGAGCCGUAGCGAAAGCGAGUCUGAAAUGGGCGUUUUGAGUACGAGGUUAUAGACCCGAAACCAGGUGACCUAUCCAUGUCCAGGUUGAAGGUGCGGUAAAACGCACUGGAGGACCGAACCCGUGUAAGUUGAAAAUUGCUGGGAUGAGGUGUGGAUAGCGGUGAAAUUCCAAACGAACUUGGAGAUAGCUGGUUCUCUCCGAAAUAGCUUUAGGGCUAGCCUCGGAAUUAGGAUCAUGGAGGUAGAGCACUAUUUGGACUAGGGGCCCGUCUUGGGUUACUGAAUUCAGAUAAACUCCGAAUGCCAUUGAUUCAUAUCCGGGAGUCAGACGAUGAGUGAUAAGAUCCACCGUCGAAAGGGGAACAGCCCAGACCAUCAGUUAAGGUCCCUAAAUGUAUGCUAAGUGGAAAAGGAUGUGGAGUUGCAUAGACAACUAGGAUGUUGGCUCAGAAGCAGCUACCAUUUAAAGAGUGCGUAAUAGCUCACUAGUCGAGUGAUCCUGCGCCGAAAAUGUACCGGGGCUAAGCAUACUACCGAAACCAUGGAUGCGACCAUUAGGUCGCGUGAUAGGAGAGCGUUCUAAGGGCGGUGAAGCAAGAUCGUGAGGACUUGUGGAGCGCUUAGAAGUGAGAAUGCCGGUAUGAGUAGCGAAAGAUAGGUGAGAAUCCUAUCCACCGAAUGACUAAGGUUUCCUGGGGAAGGCUCGUCCUCCCAGGGUUAGUCGGGACCUAAGUCGAGGCCGAGAGGCGUAGACGAUGGAUAACAGGUUGAGAUUCCUGUACUAGUUAAGUGCGUUUGAGCAAUGGAGGGACGCAGGAGGCUAAGAUGUGCAUUCUGUUGGAUUAGAAUGUCCAAGCAGUAAGUCUUGUGAAGAGUCAAAUGCUUUUCACUUUAAGGACAAGCUGUGAUGGGGAGCGAAAUUUAGUAGCGAAGCGUCUGAUGUCACACUGCCGAGAAAAGCUUCUAGUGAGUACUUAACUACCCGUACCGCAAACCGACACAGGUAGUCGAGGAGAGAAUCCUAAGGUGAGCGAGUGAACUCUCGUUAAGGAACUCGGCAAAAUGACCCCGUAACUUCGGGAGAAGGGGUGCUGAUCGCAAGAUCAGCCGCAGUGAAUAGGCCCAGGCGACUGUUUAUCAAAAACACAGGUCUCUGCAAAAUCGUAAGAUGACGUAUAGGGGCUGACGCCUGCCCGGUGCUGGAAGGUUAAAAGGAUGGGUUAGCUUCGGCGAAGCUCAGAAUUGAAGCCCCAGUAAACGGCGGCCGUAACUAUAACGGUCCUAAGGUAGCGAAAUUCCUUGUCGGGUAAGUUCCGACCCGCACGAAAGGCGUAACGAUCUGGGCACUGUCUCAACGAGAGACUCGGUGAAAUUAUAUUGUCCGUGAAGAUGCGGACUACCCGCGACAGGACGGAAAGACCCCAUGGAGCUUUACUGUAGCUUGAUAUUGAGUGUUUGUACAGCUUGUACAGGAUAGGUAGGAGCCAUAGAAACCGGAACGCUAGUUUCGGUGGAGGCGUUGGUGGGAUACUACCCUCGCUGUAUGACCACUCUAACCCGCACCACUAAUCGUGGUGGGAGACAGUGUCAGGUGGGCAGUUUGACUGGGGCGGUCGCCUCCUAAAAAGUAACGGAGGCGCCCAAAGGUUCCCUCAGAAUGGUUGGAAAUCAUUCGCAGAGUGUAAAGGCACAAGGGAGCUUGACUGCGAGACAGACAGGUCGAGCAGGGACGAAAGUCGGGCUUAGUGAUCCGGUGGUACCGUAUGGAAGGGCCAUCGCUCAACGGAUAAAAGCUACCCUGGGGAUAACAGGCUUAUCUCCCCCAAGAGUCCACAUCGACGGGGAGGUUUGGCACCUCGAUGUCGGCUCAUCGCAUCCUGGGGCUGUAGUCGGUCCCAAGGGUUGGGCUGUUCGCCCAUUAAAGCGGUACGCGAGCUGGGUUCAGAACGUCGUGAGACAGUUCGGUCCCUAUCCGUCGCGGGCGUAGGAAAUUUGAGAGGACCUGUCCUUAGUACGAGAGGACCGGGAUGGACAUACCUCUGGUGUACCAGUUGUGCCGCCAGGCGCAUCGCUGGGUAGCUACGUAUGGAUGUGAUAAACGCUGAAAGCAUCUAAGUGUGAAACACACCUCGAGAUGAGAUUUCCCAUUCCUUUAUGGAAGUAAGACCCCUGAAAGAUGAUCAGGUAGAUAGGUUAGAAGUGGCAGUGCGGUGACGCAUGAAGCGGACUAAUACUAAUCGGUCGAGGACUUAACCAA
This 2921-nucleotide ribosomal RNA is filed under the name Lactiplantibacillus plantarum. RNAcentral describes it as "23S ribosomal RNA". It matches the Rfam family "Bacterial large subunit ribosomal RNA". Lineage: Bacteria; Bacillati; Bacillota; Bacilli; Lactobacillales; Lactobacillaceae. The record is from RNAcentral.